GGGGAAGGAAACCGCCAAUCAGUGUGCGCGUCUCCAUGCGAGGCAACAUGUUCUGUUUUAGUGGUUUGGGUCGUCAUAGCGAGGCGAAGUGUUAGCAGUUUGCAUUCCAAGUCAGGUUGUUUAUUUACUGUUAAUCAGAUUGCAUUGUAUGAUUGCAGUGGAUCCACUGGUGUUCUUAACUCUGUAACUGUGAUUUGUAUAUCUUUCACUUUACGGUUGACUCUUCGAGUGAAAGUUUUGCUUUUGGUACC
Long non-coding RNA from Dioscorea cayenensis subsp. rotundata (Guinea yam), 251 nucleotides. RefSeq lists it as uncharacterized. Lineage: Eukaryota; Viridiplantae; Streptophyta; Magnoliopsida; Dioscoreales; Dioscoreaceae. The transcript has 2 exons. The record is from RefSeq and is a predicted model, not a curated record.